Molecule: long non-coding RNA, 231 nt
Organism: Protobothrops mucrosquamatus (brown spotted pit viper)
Lineage: Eukaryota; Metazoa; Chordata; Lepidosauria; Squamata; Viperidae
Exons: 3
Source: RefSeq, a predicted model, not a curated record
CCUCACAGGGAAGAAUAAAAGGAAGUUGAGGCUUUGUUUUGGGGGAACUGAAACUGUGAUUGAACCUCCAACUCAGGAGGGUCUUCUGCCCUUUGAGGAGGUGGCUGUGUAUUUCUCAGAGGAGGAAUGGUCUCUGCUGGAUCCUCGCCAGAAAGCGCUGCAUUGGGAAGUCAUGCUGGACAAUUAUAAGAACGUGGCCUUUCUUGAUGAUAAUGAGAAAGACAAUAAAGU